This is a non-coding RNA of Cordylochernes scorpioides, 74 nucleotides long. Lineage: Eukaryota; Metazoa; Arthropoda; Arachnida; Pseudoscorpiones; Chernetidae. The record is from the annotation of a GenBank genome assembly.
CGCUGCUUGCGAGCGAAAGGGCAAACCCGUGGCGCCCGCGUGGCAGGCGAGCAUUCUACCACUGAACCAAAAGC